This 669-nucleotide ribosomal RNA is filed under the name uncultured archaeon. RNAcentral describes it as "bacterial SSU rRNA". It matches the Rfam family "Archaeal small subunit ribosomal RNA", at positions 317 to 990 of the family's 1478-position model. The record is from RNAcentral.
GAUUCCCUACGGGGUGCAGCAGGCGCGCAAACUUUACAAUGCGAGCAAUCGUGAUAAGGAAACCCUGAGUGCCUGUCGAUGCAGGCUGUUCAUAUAUCUAAAUCAUAUGUGAAGAAAGGGCAGGGCAAGACCGGUGCCAGCCGCCGCGGUAAUACCGGCUGCUCGAGUGAUGGCCACUAUUACUGGGUUUAAAGCGUCCGUAGCUUGACUGUUAGGUCUCUUGGGAAAUCUUCACGCUCAACGUGAAGGCGUCUAAGGGAUACCGGCAGUCUUGGAACUGGGAGAGGUAAACCGUACUUCGGGGGUAGGAGUGAAAUCUUGUAAUCCUCGAGGGACGACCUAUGGCGAAGGCAGUUUACCAGAACAGCUUCGACAGUGAGGGACGAAAGCUGGGGGAGCAAACGGGAUUAGAUACCCCGGUAGUCCCAGCCGUAAACAAUGUGCGUUAGGUGUGUCGGUAACCACGUGUUACUGAUGCGCCGAAGAGAAAUCGUGAAACGCACCACCUGGGAAGUACGGUCGCAAGGCUGAAACUUAAAGGAAUUGGCGGGGGAGCACCCCAACAGGUGGAGCCUGCGGUUUAAUUGGAUUCAACGCCGGACAUCUCACCGGAUAAGACAGCUGAAUGAUUGUCAAUCUGAAGGUUUUACAUGACUAGCUGAGAGGAGG